UUUUUUGAAAGAGCUAAGCGCCAAAGUGAAAACAAGCCCGACGCUGGACAACUUUAAAAUGUAUGUUCGUGUUGCCGGGUAUCAGCAGCUCUACAUUCUUUUUUGCCUCGGCGUCCUCUCACAAUUCAAGAUGAUACCUACCUGUGGGAGAAGUAUCACAAUACAGCAUGAUGGGAGCCUUCCAGCACAUUCCUUCUACUUGGGACCAAGGAUGACUUUGACAUCCAGAGAAAAUGCUACAAUGGAAAAAAGGAAACAUCUGUUGAAACCAGAAGGAGAAAUCUACACCCGCGAGUGCCAUUGGUUCCAUAAAGACACUGAGG
This is a long non-coding RNA of Anguilla anguilla (European eel), 323 nucleotides long. RefSeq lists it as uncharacterized. NCBI's taxonomy places the organism in Eukaryota, Metazoa, Chordata, Actinopteri, Anguilliformes, Anguillidae. The record is from RefSeq and is a predicted model, not a curated record. The transcript has 3 exons.